Molecule: ribosomal RNA, 877 nt
Filed under: uncultured bacterium
Lineage: Bacteria
Description: bacterial SSU rRNA
Rfam family: Bacterial small subunit ribosomal RNA
Source: RNAcentral
AGAGUUUGAUCCUGGCUCAGGACGAACGCUGGCGGCGUGCCUAACACAUGCAAGUCGAACGGAACUUUUUUGAAAGAUUCUUUCGGGAUGAUUUUGAUUAAGUUUAGUGGCGGACGGGUGAGUAACGCGUGAGUAACCUGCCUUUGAGAGGGGAAUAACAAUCUGAAAAGAUUGCUAAUACCGCAUAACAUAUAUGAAUCGCAUGGUUUGUAUAUCAAAGAUUUUAUCGCUCAAAGAUGGACUCGCGUCCGAUUAGUUAGUUGGUGAGGUAACGGCUCACCAAGACCACGAUCGGUAGCCGGACUAAGAGGUUGAACGGCCACAUUGGGACUGAGACACGGCCCAGACUCCUACGGGAGGCAGCAGUGGGGGAUAUUGCGCAAUGGGGGCAACCCUGACGCAGCAACGCCGCGUGAAGGAUGAAGGUUUUCGGAUUGUAAACUUCUUUUAUUAAGGACGAAAAAUGACGGUACUUAAUGAAUAAGCUCCGGCUAACUGCGUGCCAGCAGCCGCGGUAAUACGUAGGGAGCAAGCGUUGUCCGGAUUUACUGGGUGUAAAGGGUGCGUAGGCGGCUUUGCAAGUCAGAUGUGAAAUCUAUGGGCUCAACCCAUAAACUGCAUUUGAAACUGUAGAGCUUGAGUGAAGUAGAGGCAGGCGGAAUUCCCCGUGUAGCGGUGAAAUGCGUAGAGAUGGGGAGGAACACCAGUGGCGAAGGCGGCCUGCUGGGCUUUAACUGACGCUGAGGCACGAAAGCGUGGGUAGCAAACAGGAUUAGAUACCCUGGUAGUCCACGCUGUAAACGAUGAUUACUAGGUGUGGGGGGUCUGACCCCUUCCGUGCCGGAGUUAACACAAUAAGUAAUCCACCUGGGGAGUA